UACGUAGGUGGCAAGCGUUAUCCGGAUUUAUUGGGCGUAAAGGGAACGCAGGCGGUCUUUUAAGUCUGAUGUGAAAGCCUUCGGCUUCACCGGAGUAGUGCAUUGGAAACUGGGAGACUUGAGUGCAGAAGAGGAGAGUGGAACUCCAUGUGUAGCGGUGAAAUGCGUAGAUAUAUGGAAGAACACCAGUGGCGAAAGCGGCUCUCUGGUCUGUAACUGACGCUGAGGUUCGAAAGCGUGGGUAGCAAACAGG
Molecule: ribosomal RNA, 253 nt
Filed under: uncultured bacterium
Lineage: Bacteria
Description: partial 16S ribosomal RNA
Rfam family: Bacterial small subunit ribosomal RNA
Source: RNAcentral